This 462-nucleotide ribosomal RNA is filed under the name Lancefieldella rimae. RNAcentral describes it as "bacterial SSU rRNA". It matches the Rfam family "Bacterial small subunit ribosomal RNA", at positions 28 to 500 of the family's 1533-position model. Lineage: Bacteria; Bacillati; Actinomycetota; Coriobacteriia; Coriobacteriales; Atopobiaceae. The record is from RNAcentral.
GAUGAACGCUGGCGGCGCGCCUAACACAUGCAAGUCGAACGGUUAAAGCACCUUUUAGGUGUGUAUAAAGUGGCGAACGGCUGAGUAACACGUGGGCAACCUGCCCUCCUCUUGGGGAUAGCCUCGGGAAACCGAGGAUAAUACCCGAUACUUCAAUGUGGCCGCAUGACGACAUUGAGAAAGCUUUUGCGGAGAAGGAUGGGCCCGCGGCCUGUUAGCUUGUUGGUGGGGUAGAGGCCUACCAAGGCAAUGAUGGGUAGCUGGGUUGAGAGACCGACCAGCCAGAUUGGGACUGAGACACGGCCCAGACUCCUACGGGAGGCAGCAGUGGGGAAUCUUGCACAAUGGGCGAAAGCCUGAUGCAGCGACGCCGCGUGCGGGACGAAGGCCUUUCGGGUUGUAAACCGCUUUUCAGCAGGGACGAGGCGAAAGUGACGGUACCUGCAGAAGAAGCCCCGCUAC